Long non-coding RNA from Gavialis gangeticus (Gharial), 681 nucleotides. RefSeq lists it as uncharacterized. NCBI's taxonomy places the organism in Eukaryota, Metazoa, Chordata, Crocodylia, Gavialidae. The record is from RefSeq and is a predicted model, not a curated record. The transcript is spliced from 2 exons.
UCCCCCCAUUACUACAGCAGCUGGUUGUUUCAGAGUUUCAUGCAGUUAUCCUUAAAACACUCCACUGAGGCAGGGAAGCAGUACAAUCUUGGUCGGACAGAUGAGAUGGACUUCUGAGGCACAAAAAAGCAAAGGACUUUUUUCAGCUGGAGUUUCUUUUCUGGGAAAGAGCAUAGAAGGCUUUAAGGAAAAAAAGCAUCACUUGGUGCCAUAAACUAUCUAGGACUUGAUCCUGCCUGUAUUGCUUGAAGUCAAAGGGAAAUAUGUGUGCGUAGGAAAAGCAGAACUGAGCCCUUGGCAAACAUCUGUGUGUUUUUUAAAGGAAACUUUUAUGAUAAAAUAGAGAAAGAGGGAAACCAGUACUUUAUAAGCAUCAAAUCUGUUUCAGCUCAAAAACCUGACCAUGCAAUUAUAUAGAUGGCUUUUCUCACAUAAAUAGAUCCAUUGAUCAGCUUUAUUCUUGUGAGCAGAGUUUUGUUAUUGUAUCAUUUUCCACCUUGCAAAUAUGGCUUGAUCUGCCAAACAUACACUUAACUUUAUACGGGCAAAUCAUUCUAUUUCAACGCAAAUAUUCAUAUGCAUAAAGUUGCAGGAAAGAGAUCUAAACCUGAACCUGGGGGAAACUAAAACAAAAAGUAACCUGGAAAAUUCAGAUGCAUAUAAUUUAAAUGCCUUGCGCAU